RNAcentral lists this ribosomal RNA (879 nucleotides) under uncultured bacterium. RNAcentral describes it as "bacterial SSU rRNA". It matches the Rfam family "Bacterial small subunit ribosomal RNA", at positions 29 to 898 of the family's 1533-position model. The record is from RNAcentral.
AUGAACGCUAGCUACAGGCUUAACACAUGCAAGUCGAGGGGAAACGACAUCGAAAGCUUGCUUUUGAUGGGCGUCGACCGGCGCACGGGUGAGUAACGCGUAUCCAACCUGCCCACCACUUGGGGAUAACCUUGCGAAAGUAAGACUAAUACCCAAUGAUAUCUCUAGAAGACAUCUGAAAGAGAUUAAAGAUUUAUCGGUGAUGGAUGGGGAUGCGUCUGAUUAGCUUGUUGGCGGGGUAACGGCCCACCAAGGCGACGAUCAGUAGGGGUUCUGAGAGGAAGGUCCCCCACAUUGGAACUGAGACACGGUCCAAACUCCUACGGGAGGCAGCAGUGAGGAAUAUUGGUCAAUGGGCGAGAGCCUGAACCAGCCAAGUAGCGUGCAGGAUGACGGCCCUAUGGGUUGUAAACUGCUUUUAUAAGGGAAUAAAGUGAGUCUCGUGAGACUUUUUGCAUGUACCUUAUGAAUAAGGACCGGCUAAUUCCGUGCCAGCAGCCGCGGUAAUACGGAAGGUCCGGGCGUUAUCCGGAUUUAUUGGGUUUAAAGGGAGCGUAGGCCGGAGAUUAAGCGUGUUGUGAAAUGUAGAUGCUCAACAUCUGAACUGCAGCGCGAACUGGUUUCCUUGAGUACGCACAAAGUGGGCGGAAUUCGUGGUGUAGCGGUGAAAUGCUUAGAUAUCACGAAGAACUCCGAUUGCGAAGGCAGCUCACUGGAGCGCAACUGACGCUGAAGCUCGAAAGUGCGGGUAUCGAACAGGAUUAGAUACCCUGGUAGUCCGCACGGUAAACGAUGGAUGCCCGCUGUUGGUCUGAAUAGGUCAGCGGCCAAGCGAAAGCAUUAAGCAUCCCACCUGGGGAGUACGCCGGCAACGGUGAA